AGUGAACGCUGGCGGUAGGCCCAACACAUGCAAGUCGAACGGCAGCACAGGAGAGCUUGCUCUCUGGGUGGCGAGUGGCGGACGGGUGAGGAAUACAUCGGAAUCUACUCUGUCGUGGGGGAUAACGUAGGGAAACUUACGCUAAUACCGCAUACGACCUACGGGUGAAAGCAGGGGACCUUCGGGCCUUGCGCGAUUGAAUGAGCCGAUGUCGGAUUAGCUAGUUGGCGGGGUAAAGGCCCACCAAGGCGACGAUCCGUAGCUGGUCUGAGAGGAUGAUCGGCCACACUGGAACUGAGAAACGGUUCAGACUCCUACGGGAGGCAGCAGUGGGGAAUAUUGGACAAUGGGCGCAAGCCUGAUCCAGCCAUACCGCGUGGGUGAAGAAGGCCUUCGGGUUGUAAAGCCCUUUUGUUGGGAAAGAAAUCCAGCUGGCUAAUACCCGGUUGGGAUGACGGUACCCAAAGAAUAAGCACCGGCUAACUUCGUGCCAGCCGCCGCAGUAA
RNAcentral lists this ribosomal RNA (506 nucleotides) under uncultured bacterium. RNAcentral's name for it is "partial 16S ribosomal RNA". It matches the Rfam family "Bacterial small subunit ribosomal RNA", at positions 29 to 523 of the family's 1533-position model. The record is from RNAcentral.